Molecule: ribosomal RNA, 332 nt
Filed under: uncultured bacterium
Lineage: Bacteria
Description: bacterial SSU rRNA
Rfam family: Bacterial small subunit ribosomal RNA
Source: RNAcentral
CGUGUAGGUGGUCAGGUAAGUCAGAUGUGAAAGCCUUCUGCUUAACAGAAGAAGUGCAUUUGAAACUGCUUGGCUAGAGUACGGGAGAGGAGAGUGGAAUUCCCGGUGUAGAGGUGAAAUUCGUAGAUAUCAGGAGGAACACCAGUGGCGAAGGCGGCUCUCUGGUCCGAUACUGACGCUGAGACGCGAAAGCGUGGGGAGCAAACAGGAUUAGAUACCCUGGUAGUCCACGCCGUAAACGAUGGGCACUAGGUGUAGGAGGUAUUGACCCCUUCUGUGCCGAAGCUAACGCAUUAAGUGCCCCGCCUGGGGAGUACGGCCGCAAGGCUAAA